AGUUAUAUGAAAAAAAUAUAACGCAUGUAUUUAUUAUCAUAUAUAUUUUAAAUCAAGCGAUUACCACUGAAUAUAAAAGGAUCUUCUUUAUUCGCUGUUUUGCGCCCUUUUCCAAUCAACGAGAUUACCAGUUCAAACUAUGGACUGCACCCACACCCGUUGAAGAAGACCGGAACCCAGAAAAAUCUUAGGAGACUCCCGUGUGGCGAGCCAAGGCUUUACCAGCUGGCCAUCCUCCUAUUACGAUUGAUUUAUUUUGCCAAAAUCAAUUUCUGAUUUUACGAUGUUUUCUAUUAAAAAAUUAUCCGAAAGAAAAUUUUGAGACAAGUAUGAAAUACUAUAUAAGAUGCUAUUUUCAUUUUGAACUUUAAGAAUUAUUUUUAUAGAUUAUAUUAUACGUAUUAAAUGUAUGUAUGCGGAUAUCUUUAUUAAUUUAGAUAUAGAAAUCUUAAAACUGCCACAAAUACUACCGCAUGACGAUAGAUUAAAAGAUGUCGCCCACCAUAAUAGUCUUUCGUGGUUCCCGAAAUGUAAUGCGUGGCCCUUGGAUGGCCUGAGGAACAAAGUAACAAAUGAAACAAAACAAAUGAAGUAACAAAUUUUAUCCUAUACUUAAGAUGAGCCUUUAAAUGUGAUGAGCCUUUAAAUGGCGUUGUUUGUUCCAUUUAUAUUUUAUUCUCUCAUUUAUUGAUUAUAAGCCACUAUAUAAUCUGAUUAAUCAAUCGAUGUAAUUUCCUUCGCCAGAGCCCAUUUAGCCGAAGAAUUAGAAGUCAGCAUUCUGAAUAAUAGCCAUUUUUGGCUUUAUAAAUGUCAGAUAAUUAUCCUGGAAUUCUAUUUCUUUGUUACCACCUCCCACGACAUGGACGCUGGGUUGGACUUUUGGGAGGCAACCUGAAAAGGUCAAAUACGCUAUUAAGAUAUUUAAGAAAAAAAAAAAAAGACAAAUCAUAAUCGAACGGCUUUAGAAAUCCAAUAAAUUUCUUAAAAUAGUUUCCUGAAGUAAAUCAUUUUUGAUGUGAAAACUCUGAAGAUGAAAAUGGAUGUGGAUAAUGUUUUCUCGAGCGCCUCAAUUGCGUAUUCAUCCUAAAAAGUUAAUAAAUUACUUAAUCUACGUACUGUCUAUAGACAGAAAUUUGUAAAGAGAAUGAAAAUUUCAUUAAAAAGAAAAAGAUUAAUUUAGAUUGAUGAAAAUUACUUGCCUUGGCCGUAAAAAUUAAUGGUGGUAAUUAUAAUUUUAAAAAUGUAUCUUGACGGUCCAUUAGCAACUGCUCUGGCCGCUCCAGUUGAUUUACAGGGCGAAAAGGUUCAGAGAACGGCUCCAUACUUUUUCCCGAUGAAAUGCAGCAAUAUUUGCAUAUUGUUACAUUCCAUCGAGGAUCUGCCACUGCAGCAACAUUUCAUCGCUAAGCUUUGCAAACAUUGCUAAUGCUAAUUUAGGAUCCGAGCGUCGAGUCUUCGUUUCUUCACGUAACGAAAUUUUUUAGUAGCUCGUGUUGAUUUAAG
RNAcentral lists this long non-coding RNA (1503 nucleotides) under Androctonus crassicauda. The record is from RNAcentral. Lineage: Eukaryota; Metazoa; Arthropoda; Arachnida; Scorpiones; Buthidae.